Long non-coding RNA from Arabidopsis thaliana (thale cress), 638 nucleotides. RefSeq annotates it as other RNA. NCBI's taxonomy places the organism in Eukaryota, Viridiplantae, Streptophyta, Magnoliopsida, Brassicales, Brassicaceae. The transcript has a single exon. The record is from RefSeq.
GUUACUCAGCUGGGUCUUAAUUGCAUAUGUCGUCUCUUUGGCUUGCGUUUGAGCCGCAACUUGUUAUUCAAUGGGAGGCUGUGACACCCUCUUUGUACAAGUUUCACAUGUAAGACAUAGAAGUCUUGAAUCCAAAGACACCAACAAAGAUGACAAUGGUACCGACGGUUCUUGAAAAAGCCCUAGAAGCUGUGUGGUGAUCAUAUUCUCGGGCUGAUGAAAAUAUUGCUUCCUCCCUCAUGGCCCCGCGCAUCACACAACACUCACACCUCUUCGUUGCAGUCACCAAAUUUAUUAGUUUCUCCACCUUGUGCGAGGAACAAUCCCAAUUUUUCAAUCGACGCUCCAGUCGAAAAGAAGAAGCCUCAAUGAAAUAGGCAUACGACUGGUUGUCAGUUGCCUAUUUAGCAGAAUCCAUGAUAUUGACACUGGGACCGGUGCCAUUCCCGGAUGAGAAGCUGUGAUUUCCACCCGCGAUAGCACUAUAACAACUUUCCCUUGGUAUCAGCGUUCUGAAUCAUCAUCGUCAUUGUCUUAAGAAGUUCUUUAAUAUAUUAUGUACGAUAGCGUCUACAAUCGCAUGUGUAAUCUCUAUAGUAGACAAUACUUUUUUUCUCCUUUAACAUGUUUUGUUGGUG